This 398-nucleotide ribosomal RNA is filed under the name uncultured bacterium. Its description in RNAcentral is "bacterial SSU rRNA". It matches the Rfam family "Bacterial small subunit ribosomal RNA", at positions 358 to 773 of the family's 1533-position model. The record is from RNAcentral.
GGAAUAUUGGACAAUGGGGGCAACCCUGAUCCAGCCAUGCCGCGUGCGUGAAGAAGGCCUUAGGGUUGUAAAGCGCUUUCACUGGUGAAGAUGAUGACGGUAGCCAGAGAAGAAGCCCCGGCUAACUCCGUGCCAGCAGCCGCGGUAAUACGGAGGGGGCAAGCGUUGUUCGGAAUUACUGGGCGUAAAGGGCGCGUAGGCGGAACGUCAAGUUAGGGGUGAAAGGCCUGGGCUCAACCUAGGAACGGCCUCUAAAACUGACGAUCUAGAGUCCGGAAGAGGAUGGCGGAAUUCCCAGUGUAGAGGUGAAAUUCGUAGAUAUCGGGAGGAACACCAGUGGCGAAGGCGGAGACCUGGGCCGAUACUGACGCUGAGGUGCGAAAGCGUGGGGAGCAAAC